ACAGUCCAAUAAAUUAGGGGUUCAGUUUUUUCCUCCUGCCGAACCUACUAAUUCCCUUGAAAGGGGUGACCUUAAAGAACACCCAGUCGCCUUUCUCAAACGCUAAAUCUCUCCUCCGGGUGUCCGCAUAACUCUUCUGCUUGCUCUGAGCCGUCUGAAUGUUCUUUCUAAUUUUAACUAUUUUAGAUGUGGUCUCUUCUACCAGUUCCGAGCCGAACAAUUUUCUAUCGCCCACUUCUUCCUAACAAAUCGGCGAUCUGCAUGGGCGCCCAUAUAACGCCUCAUACGGAGCCAUACCAAUGCUCGCUUGGUAGUUGUUGUUGUAGGCAAUUCUAUCAGGGGUAGAUGGUCGUCCCAAUGGCCCUCGGAGCAUAUCCUUAAGUAUACGGAUUGUCCUUUCUGAUUGUCC
This 409-nucleotide long non-coding RNA is filed under the name Carica papaya (papaya). RNAcentral describes it as "long non-coding RNA (CPAP_LNC007452)". The record is from RNAcentral. Lineage: Eukaryota; Viridiplantae; Streptophyta; Magnoliopsida; Brassicales; Caricaceae.